RNAcentral lists this ribosomal RNA (378 nucleotides) under uncultured bacterium. Its description in RNAcentral is "bacterial SSU rRNA". It matches the Rfam family "Bacterial small subunit ribosomal RNA", at positions 28 to 416 of the family's 1533-position model. The record is from RNAcentral.
GAUUAACGCUGGCGGCGUGCCUAACACAUGCAAGUCGAACGAGGUAGCAAUACCUAGUGGCAGACGGGUGAGUAACGCGUGGUCAACCUACCGUUGAGUGGGGGAUAACUAGCCGAAAGGUUAGCUAAUACCGCAUACGUCUCCGAGGGGCAUCCCUUGGCGAUAAAAGGAGCAAUCCGCUCGAUGACGGGACCGCGUCCCAUUAGCUAGAUGGUGGGGUAACGCCUACCAUGGCACCGANGGGGUAGCUGGUUUGAGAGAGCGACCAGCCACACUGGGACUGAGAAACGGCCCAGACUCCUACGGGAGGCAGCAGUGAGGAAUUUUCCGCAAUGGGCGCAAGCCUGACGGAGCGACGCCGCGUGUGGGAAGAAGGCC